RNAcentral lists this ribosomal RNA (232 nucleotides) under uncultured bacterium. Its description in RNAcentral is "partial 16S ribosomal RNA". It matches the Rfam family "Bacterial small subunit ribosomal RNA", at positions 109 to 334 of the family's 1533-position model. The record is from RNAcentral.
AGUAACACGUGGGUAACCUGCCCAUCAGAAGGGGAUAACACUUGGAAACAGGUGCUAAUACCGUAUAACAAUCGAAACCGCAUGGUUUCGGUUUUGAAAGGACGCUUUUGCGUCACUGAUGGAUGGACCCGCGGUGCAUUAGCUAGUUGGUGAGGUAACGGCUCACCAAGGCAACGAUGCAUAGCCGACCUGAGAGGGUGAUCGGCCACAUUGGGACUGAGACACGGCCCAA